This is a long non-coding RNA of Puntigrus tetrazona (Sumatra barb), 518 nucleotides long. RefSeq lists it as uncharacterized. Lineage: Eukaryota; Metazoa; Chordata; Actinopteri; Cypriniformes; Cyprinidae. The record is from RefSeq and is a predicted model, not a curated record. The transcript has 3 exons.
UCCAUGAAUCCAGCACAACUAGACAACUACGUCUGUAGAAUCAUGACGUGAGGAGCGCAGCAGCUACAUACGGGCAUUCUUUUUUAGAAUUCUUUGUUGGGAAGUUUGACGAUUGUUGUGGUUGGUGCUAUUGACGAGUUUCCAUGGUGAUCAUUUCUUCGGUUAUUGCAUUUCGCCUUUUUUUGACUACCUUUCGGAUUUUUGAUAUUGAUUCUCGGUUUUGACCAUUUUCCGUUUUUGACGCUCGAUUUUUGACUCGGUUUGGACUCCCGGUUUUGACCCUUUUUUCCGUUUUUGACUGCCGGCUUCGGAUUCGUUGUGAACCCGCACACUGAAGAACAUCCUUUCCUGAAAUGGGAUCGGUUGGUGUUUUACCAGUGUGUGUGGAAACACCAAGGGCCGUGUUCGGUGUGCCCCUCAUCAGCCUGAGGAAGAGAGGACAGAUGAGGCAGGGUCUUCCUCUGGUGUUCACACACGUAGUGGAGAUUGUGGAGAAGCACGCGUUCCUUCUGGCCCCA